GGAAGGGUAGCGAAGAGGCUAAACGCGGUGGACUGUAAAUCCGCUCCUUCGGGUUCGGGGGUUCGAAUCCCUCCCCUUCCA
This 81-nucleotide transfer RNA is filed under the name Streptococcus thermophilus. Its description in RNAcentral is "tRNA-Tyr". It matches the Rfam family "tRNA". From Rfam's summary of the family: Transfer RNA (tRNA) molecules are approximately 80 nucleotides in length. Their secondary structure includes four short double-helical elements and three loops (D, anti-codon, and T loops). The record is from RNAcentral. RNAcentral also lists the same sequence under 1 other name. Lineage: Bacteria; Bacillati; Bacillota; Bacilli; Lactobacillales; Streptococcaceae.